Molecule: ribosomal RNA, 253 nt
Filed under: uncultured bacterium
Lineage: Bacteria
Description: partial 16S ribosomal RNA
Rfam family: Bacterial small subunit ribosomal RNA
Source: RNAcentral
UACAGAGGUCUCAAGCGUUGUUCGGAUUCAUUGGGCGUAAAGGGCAGGUAGGUGGUUUGGUAAGUCUAUUGUGAAAGCUCCCGGCUUAACCGGGAGAGGCCAAUGGAUACUACCAGGCUUGAGUAUAGGAGAGGUUACUGGAAUUCCCGGAGUAGCGGUGAAAUGCGCAGAUAUCGGGAGGAACACCAAUGGCGAAAGCAGGUAACUGGACUAUUACUGACACUCAACUGCGAAAGCUAGGGGAGCAAACAGG